RNAcentral lists this unclassified non-coding RNA (231 nucleotides) under uncultured fungus. RNAcentral's name for it is "sequence contains ITS1, 5.8S rRNA gene". The stretch from base 183 to 231 matches the Rfam family "5.8S ribosomal RNA", at positions 1 to 49 of the family's 154-position model. The record is from RNAcentral. Lineage: Eukaryota; Fungi.
UCUCCGUAGGUGAACCUGCGGAGGGAUCAUUACUGAGUGAGGGCUCCGGCCCGACCUCCAACCCCAUGUGAACCGAAACCUGUUGCUUCGGGGGCGACCCUGCCUUUCGGCGCGGCGUGGGGCCCCCGGAGCCCAUCAAACCCUGCGUAACUAAGUCGUCGGAGUUUAAACAAAUAAAACAAAACUUUCAACAACGGAUCUCUUGGUUCGGGCAUCGAUGAAGAACGCAGC